GAUGAACGCUGGCGGCGUGCCUAAUACAUGCAUGUCGAGCGAACCACUUCGGUGGUGAGCGGCGAACGGGUGAGUAACACGUAGGUGAUCUGCCCAUCAGACGGGGACAACGAUUGGAAACGAUCGCUAAUACCGGAUAGGACGAAAGUUUAAAGGUGCUUCUGGCACCGCUGAUGGAUGAGCCUGCGGCGCAUUAGCUAGUUGGUAGGGUAAAGGCCUACCAAGGCGACGAUGCGUAGCCGACCUGAGAGGGUGAACGGCCACACUGGGACUGAGACACGGCCCAGACUCCUACGGGAGGCAGCAGUAGGGAAUCUUCGGCAAUGGGCGAAAGCCUGACCGAGCAACGCCGCGUGAAUGAUGAAGGCCUUCGGGUUGUAAAAUUCUGUUAUAAGGGAAGAACGACUUUAGUAGGAAAUGGCUAGGGUGUGACGGUACCUUAUGAGAAAGCCACGGCUAACUACGUGCCAGCAGCCGCGGUAA
Molecule: ribosomal RNA, 483 nt
Filed under: uncultured bacterium
Lineage: Bacteria
Description: partial 16S ribosomal RNA
Rfam family: Bacterial small subunit ribosomal RNA
Source: RNAcentral